CUUGUGAUGGUAUCGUAGGUAAUCUGU
RNAcentral lists this non-coding RNA (27 nucleotides) under Homo sapiens (human). The record is from RNAcentral. Lineage: Eukaryota; Metazoa; Chordata; Mammalia; Primates; Hominidae.